This 719-nucleotide long non-coding RNA is filed under the name Salmo salar (Atlantic salmon). RNAcentral's name for it is "lncRNA (ENSSSAG00000093325.1)". Lineage: Eukaryota; Metazoa; Chordata; Actinopteri; Salmoniformes; Salmonidae. The record is from RNAcentral.
CCUCAGGCCUCUUCCUCUCCCCAACUAACAACUAUACGGACAAACACAAUACGAGACCAACCACAUACACUUCCAGCAAUAGAACACACCCCACUACAAAUUUCCCCACCAACGAUACCAACUCCAACCCCAGUGCCCCCUCUCUCCUCAACAGAGGAAUUUCCACCUUUAUCAAAGCCCCUGCCAAAAAGACAACCAUCAUACUUACGGACACUAUCACUGGGAAAACAACCGACCCUGAGUGAAACCUAUAACCUUCGCAUACAGACUCUUUCAAAAACACAUCUCCACUCCCUACCCUCAACAUCCACUUUCACUGAUUCUUCCCUUUCCAAUCAAAAAGGAGAGGUAAGAAUAGCAACCCCUAUAACUGAAGAGGAGAAAUGGAAAAGCCCAGUGGGUCCCCCUACUCCCAAAGCAGCCACUCCUAUCAUAGCCCAGGUUCACCACACAGUCAACAGUCAAACAGAAACCAAAGCAGCCACUCUUAUCAUAGCCCAGGUUCACCACACAGCCAACAGUCAAACAGAAACCAAAACCAAAGCAGCCACUCCUAUCAUAGCCCAGGUUCACCACACAGUCAACAGUCAAACAGAAACCAAAGCAGCCACUCUUAUCAUAGCCCAGGUUCACCACACAGCCAACAGUCAAACAGAAACCAGUACACCUACAGUCACACCUAUUAAACAAAACACAAACUGCAAAAAAGUACAGGGUAA